Molecule: long non-coding RNA, 231 nt
Filed under: Elaeis guineensis (African oil palm)
Lineage: Eukaryota; Viridiplantae; Streptophyta; Magnoliopsida; Arecales; Arecaceae
Description: long non-coding RNA (EGUI_LNC069164)
Source: RNAcentral
CUUUAGACCUCCUUUAUGGGUGGAGGAUUGGGCUUUAGUUGGUAAAUUGGUUGGCAUGAUCCCGCUUGAUCAGGAUGUGACUUGUACGAGGUGACGGGAUUAUCGCUCGAGAUUUUUAGGGUAUGGUGGUUGUAGUCACCUCAUUAGUUUCAUGACAGUUGUCAUCGAGCGACAUUGAAUUUUGAAUUGGAUCACCAACUGGAUGUCGUCGAGAUGGGGAUUAUUCGGUGA